UACGGAAGGCAGCAGUGGGGAAUAUUGCACAAUGGGCGAAAGCCUGAUGCAGCUAUGCCGCGUGUAUGAAGAAGGCCUUAGGGUUGUAAAGUACUUUCAUCGGGGAGGAAAAAACAAAACUAAUAAUUUUAUUUCUUGACGUUACCCGAAAAAGAAGCACCGGCUAACUCCGUGCCAGCAGCCGCGGUAAUACGGAGGGUGCUAGCGUUAAUCAGAAUUACUGGGCGUAAAGAGCACGUAGGUGGUUUUUUUAAAGUCAGAUGUGAAAAUCCCUGGGCUUAACCUAGGAACUGCAUUUUGAAACUGAAAUACUAGAGUAUCGUAGAGGGAGGUAGAAUUCUAGGUGUAGCGGUGAAAUGCGUAGAUAUCUGGAGGAAUACCUGUGGCGAAAGCGGCCUCCUAAACGAAUACUGACACUGAGGUGCGAAAGCGUGGGGAGCAAAACAGGGAUUAGAUACC
Molecule: ribosomal RNA, 459 nt
Filed under: uncultured bacterium
Lineage: Bacteria
Description: bacterial SSU rRNA
Rfam family: Bacterial small subunit ribosomal RNA
Source: RNAcentral